This 460-nucleotide ribosomal RNA is filed under the name uncultured bacterium. RNAcentral describes it as "partial 16S ribosomal RNA". It matches the Rfam family "Bacterial small subunit ribosomal RNA", at positions 338 to 795 of the family's 1533-position model. The record is from RNAcentral.
CCUACGGGUGGCUGCAGUGAGGAAUAUUGGUCAAUGGACGAGAGUCUGAACCAGCCAAGUAGCGUGAAGGAUGACUGCCCUAUGGGUUGUAAACUUCUUUUAUAUGGGAAUAAAAUGUUCCACGUGUGGGAUUUUGUAUGUACCAUAUGAAUAAGGAUCGGCUAACUCCGUGCCAGCAGCCGCGGUAAUACGGAGGAUCCGAGCGUUAUCCGGAUUUAUUGGGUUUAAAGGGAGAGUAGGUGGAUUGUUAAGUCAGUUGUGAAAGUUUGCGGCUCAACCGUAAAAUUGCAGUUGAAACUAGCAGUCUUGAGUACAGUAGAGGUGAGCGGAAUUCGUGGUGUAGCGGUGAAAUGCUUAGAUAUCACGAAGAACUCCGAUUGCGAAGGCAGUUCACUGGACUGCAACUGACACUGAGGCUCGAAAGUGUGGGUAUCAAACAGGAUUAGAUACCCUGGUAGUC